GCCGGGCGUGGUGGCGGGCGCCUGUAGUCCCAGCUACUUGGGAGGCUGAGGCAGGAGAAUGGCAUGAACCCAGGAGGUGCAGUUUGCAGUGAGCUGAGAUCGCGCCACUGCAUCCAGCCUGGGUGACAGAGCAAGACCUUGUCUCAU
This 147-nucleotide non-coding RNA is filed under the name Nomascus leucogenys (northern white-cheeked gibbon). Lineage: Eukaryota; Metazoa; Chordata; Mammalia; Primates; Hylobatidae. The record is from Rfam by way of RNAcentral.